Molecule: non-coding RNA, 209 nt
Organism: Oryza nivara
Lineage: Eukaryota; Viridiplantae; Streptophyta; Magnoliopsida; Poales; Poaceae
Source: Rfam
AAUAAGUGCAGUUUUAUACUGUUCAUGUCUCACGUUUGACCGUUCGUUUUAUUUGAAAUUUUUUUACGAUUAAUAUUUUUAUUGUUAUUAGAUGAUAAAACAUGAAUAGUACUUUAUGUGUGACUAAAUAUAUUUUAAUUUUUUUAUAAAUUUUUCAAAUAAGACGAAUGGUCAAACGUUGGACACGGAUUCCCAUGGCUGCACUUAUU